GAUUAUGGCUCAGGAUGAACGCUAGCGACAGGCUUAACACAUGCAAGUCGAGGGGCAUCACGGGAGUAGCAAUACAACUGGUGGCGACCGGCGCACGGGUGAGUAACGCGUAUGCAACCUACCUAUCAGAGGGGAAUAACCCGGCGAAAGUCGGACUAAUACCGCAUAAAACAGGGGCACCGCAUGGUGAUAUUUGUUAAAGAAAUUCGCUGAUAGAUGGGCAUGCGUUCCAUUAGGUAGUUGGUGAGGUAACGGCUCACCAAGCCGACGAUGGAUAGGGGAACUGAGAGGUUGGUCCCCCACACUGGUACUGAGACACGGACCAGACUCCUACGGGAGGCAGCAGUGAGGAAUAUUGGUCAAUGGGCGGGAGCCUGAACCAGCCAAGUCGCGUGAAGGAAAAGAAGGAUCUAUGGUUCGUAAACUUCUUUUGCAGGGGAAUAAAGUGCAGGACGUGUCCUGUUUUGUAUGUACCCUGAGAAUAAGGAUCGGCUAACUCCGUGCCAGCAGCUGC
RNAcentral lists this ribosomal RNA (514 nucleotides) under uncultured bacterium. RNAcentral's name for it is "bacterial SSU rRNA". It matches the Rfam family "Bacterial small subunit ribosomal RNA", at positions 15 to 518 of the family's 1533-position model. The record is from RNAcentral.